This 249-nucleotide ribosomal RNA is filed under the name uncultured Anoxybacillus sp. Its description in RNAcentral is "partial 16S ribosomal RNA". It matches the Rfam family "Bacterial small subunit ribosomal RNA", at positions 1137 to 1382 of the family's 1533-position model. The record is from RNAcentral. Lineage: Bacteria; Bacillati; Bacillota; Bacilli; Caryophanales; Anoxybacillaceae.
ACUCUAAGGUGACUGCCGGCUAAAAGUCGGAGGAAGUGGGGAUGACGUCAAAUCAUCAUGCCCCUUAUGACCUGGGCUACACACGUGCUACAAUGGGCGGUACAAAGGGUCGCGAACCCGCGAGGGGGGAGGCCAAAUCCCAAAAAAGCCGCUCUCAGUUCGGAUUGCAGGCUGCAACUCGCCUGCAUGAAGCCGGAAUCGCUAGUAAUCGCGGAUCAGCAUGCCGCGGUGAAUACGUUCCCGGGCCUU